UGGUGGCGAUCCUGACCCUCUACAGGCCUUGGCCAAUGUGUGCAUCUGUGUCUUAGUGGUUUUUUUUUGUUUUUUUUUCUGAGACAGAGUCUUGCUUUGUCACCCAGGCUGGAGUGCAAUGAUGCAAUCUCAGCUGACUGCAACCUCUGUCUCUUGGGUUCAAGCAAUUCUCCUGCCUCAGCCUCCUGAGUAACUGUGAUUACAGGUGCCUGACACCACGCCUGGUUAAUUUUUGUAUUUUUGGUAGAGAUGGGGUUUCACCGUGUUGGCCAGGCUGGUCUCAAACUCCAGAUCUCAAGUGAUCUGCCAGCCUCAGCCUCCCAAAGUGCUGGGAUUACAGCAUGAGCCACCGUGCCUGGCCUGUGUCUUAGUUUCUAACUGCAAAGUUUAAAAUGUUAAAGAAGAUGAAUUUGAAAACAGAAAAAGUCUUAUCGAGUAAGGUUACAAAGAAACUUUUUUACAGCUGGACAAUGUGUGUUUUAAGCUGAGUCAUUACAAAAGAGUCAAAAAGCUAAACGUAUAGCCACUCAUAAAGUAAAACGUUACAGGAAGCUCAUUUUCUUUUUUUUUUUUUUGAGACAGAGUUUCGCUCUUGUUACUUAGGCUGGAGUGCAAUGGCGUGAAUUCGGCUCACGGCAACCUCCGCCUCCUGGGUUCGGGCAAUUCUCCUGCCUCAGCCUCCUGAGUAGCUGGGAUUACAGGCACGUGCCACUAUGCCCAGCUAAUUUUUUGUAUUUUUAGUAGAGACAGGGUUUCACCAUGUUGACCAGGAUGGUCUCUAUCUCUUGACCUCGUGAUCCACCUGCCUCGGCCUCCCAAAGUGCUGGGAUUACAGGCUCGAGCCACUGUGCCCGGUCUCAUUUUAUUCCUGAAUUCAGUGCAGCCUAAGUGUAUGGUGUCUCAGAGACUAUAGUUAUGUACGUAAUGUCCGAGGUCUUCAUAUCUCCUCACCCCUCACGGCUUAAUCAGAGAGCUGCCUGGCCUGCAAGCUCAAUUCAUGAGAAAGAAACUAAGGCUCAGGGAUGCUCCAUAAGUGGCCCAAGCCAUGGCUGAGAGAGGGUGGGCCAGACGUUUAUAAAGGAGGAUGAUGAAACCCAGCCCGGCCCCUGUGACGCUCUUGGUUUUGAUCCAUGGCAUUAAAGC
Molecule: long non-coding RNA, 1143 nt
Filed under: Callithrix jacchus (white-tufted-ear marmoset)
Lineage: Eukaryota; Metazoa; Chordata; Mammalia; Primates; Cebidae
Description: lncRNA (ENSCJAG00000085280.1)
Source: RNAcentral